Molecule: long non-coding RNA, 467 nt
Organism: Globicephala melas (long-finned pilot whale)
Lineage: Eukaryota; Metazoa; Chordata; Mammalia; Artiodactyla; Delphinidae
Source: RefSeq, a predicted model, not a curated record
CUCCACCCUCAAGCAGGUGGAGCAUCACUUCCCACUCCUUAAGUGCCAGCUGUGCAGAGGGACUUCCUUCCAAAGAGGACAAUGCGGCAAUUGGCUCCAGUCUAAUCAUGAGGAAAACAUCCGGCAAAUCCCAAUUGAGGGACAGUGUACAGAAUAACUGACCAGUACUCCUCGAGACCGUCAGAGUCGUCAAAAACAAGAUGCAUUACGAGGCCUGCCUGAGGCAGACCAUACGUGAGCCCGCCAGAAUGAAGAAAUCCACACCUGUCCCUGACCCACCCCUCCGCUGGAGAAACUUCAUUGAUCCCAACUGACGUUGGGGUCACUUUUUCUGGAGCAGAAGAGAAUGGGGGGUCAGCACUGAACAAUGCCACUGGUUUUUCUCAUUUUUCCAUGUUCAGAUGGGAAACUAGACCAUCCAGUGUUCUCUGCUUUGGGUGAGGAGACCUCUGGAGAAUUAUUUAACA